GGCUUAACACAUGCAAGUCGAGGGGCAGCACAGGGUAGCAAUACUUGGGUGGCGACCGGCGCACGGGUGAGUAACGCGUAUGCAACUUACCUAUCAGAGGGGGAUAGCCCGGCGAAAGUCGGAUUAAUACCCCAUGAAACAGGGGUCCCGCAUGGGAAUAUUUGUUAAAGAUUCAUCGCUGAUAGAUAGGCAUGCGUUCCAUUAGGCAGUUGGCGGGGUAACGGCCCACCAAACCGACGAUGGAUAGGGGUUCUGAGAGGAAGGUCCCCCACAUUGGUACUGAGACACGGACCAAACUCCUACGGGAGGCAGCAGUGAGGAAUAUUGGUCAAUGGCCGAGAGGCUGAACCAGCCGAGUCGCGUGAAGGAAGAAGGAUCUAUGGUUUGUAAACUUCUUUUAUAGGGGAAUAAAGUGGAGGACGUGUCCUUUUUUGUAUGUACCCUAUGAAUAAGCAUCGGCUAACUCCGUGCCAGCAGCCGCGGUAAUACGGAGGAUGCGAGCGUUAUCCGGAUUUAUUGGGUUUAAAGGGUGCGUAGGUGGUGAUUUAAGUCAGCGGUGAAAGUUUGUGGCUCAACCAUAAAAUUGCCGUUGAAACUGGGUUACUUGAGUGUGUUUGAGGUAGGCGGAAUGCGUGGUGUAGCGGUGAAAUGCAUAGAUAUCACGCAGAACUCCGAUUGCGAAGGCAGCUUACUAAACCAUAACUGACACUGAAGCACGAAAGCGUGGGGAUCAAACAGGAUUAGAUACCCUGGUAGUCCACGCAGUAAACGAUGAUUACUAGGAGUUUGCGAUACAAUGUAAGCUCUACAGCGAAAGCGUUAAGUAAUCCACCUGGGGAGUACGCCGGCAACGGUGAAACUCAAAGGAAUUGACGGGGGCCCGCACAAGCGGAGGAACAUGUGGUUUAAUUCGAUGAUACGCGAGGAACCUUACCCGGGUUUGAACGUAGUCUGACCGGAGUGGAAACACUUUUUCUAGCAAUAGCAGAUUACGAGGUGCUGCAUGGUUGUCGUCAGCUCGUGCCGUGAGGUGUCGGCUUAAGUUCCAUAACGAGCGCAACCCUUAUCACUAGUUACUAACAGGUGAAGCUGAGGACUCUGGUGAGUCUGCCAGGGUAAGCUGUGAGGAAGGUGGGGACGAUGUCAAAUCAGCACGGUCCUUACAUCCGGGGCAUACACACGUGUUACAAUGGCAUGGACAAAGGGCAGCUACC
RNAcentral lists this ribosomal RNA (1214 nucleotides) under uncultured organism. RNAcentral describes it as "SSU rRNA". It matches the Rfam family "Bacterial small subunit ribosomal RNA", at positions 45 to 1254 of the family's 1533-position model. The record is from RNAcentral.